UACGUAGGGUGCGAGCGUUAUUCGGAAUUACUGGGCGUAAAGUGUGCGCAGGUGGCCGCGCAAGUCGAGUGUGAAAUCCCCGGGCUUAACUUGGGAAUUGCGCUCGAGACUACGUGGCUCGAGUAUGGCAGAGGAAGGUGGAAUUCCACGUGUAGCGGUGAAAUGCGUAGAGAUGUGGAGGAACACCGAUGGCGAAGGCAGCCUUCUGGGCCAAUACUGACGCUCAUGCACGAAAGCGUGGGGAGCAAACAGG
RNAcentral lists this ribosomal RNA (253 nucleotides) under uncultured bacterium. RNAcentral's name for it is "partial 16S ribosomal RNA". It matches the Rfam family "Bacterial small subunit ribosomal RNA", at positions 524 to 776 of the family's 1533-position model. The record is from RNAcentral.